CUACGGGGGGCUGCAGUGGGGAAUAUUGGACAAUGGGGGAAACCCUGAUCCAGCAAUGCCGCGUGUGUGAAGAAGGCCUGCGGGUUGUAAAGCACUUUCGGUUGGGAGGACUGCUUCUAGCACUAAUAUUGUUGGAAGUUGACGUUACCUUCAGAAGAAGCACCGGCUAACUCCGUGCCAGCAGCCGCGGUAAUACGGAGGGUGCAAGCGUGAUCGGAAUUACUGGGCGUAAAGCGCGCGUAGGCGGCGAGAUCAGUCGGGUGUGAAAGCCCCGGGCUUAACCUGGGAACUGCAUCCGAUACUGUCUAGCUUGAGUACAGGAGAGGAGAGUGGAAUUCCACAUGUAGCGGUGAAAUGCGUAGAUAUGUGGAGGAACACCAAUGGCGAAGGCAGCUCUCUGGCCUGAUACUGACGCUGAGGUGCGAAAGCGUGGGGAGCAAACAGGAUUAGAUACCCGGGUAGUC
This 464-nucleotide ribosomal RNA is filed under the name uncultured bacterium. RNAcentral describes it as "partial 16S ribosomal RNA". It matches the Rfam family "Bacterial small subunit ribosomal RNA", at positions 339 to 795 of the family's 1533-position model. The record is from RNAcentral.